Molecule: long non-coding RNA, 4767 nt
Filed under: Salmo salar (Atlantic salmon)
Lineage: Eukaryota; Metazoa; Chordata; Actinopteri; Salmoniformes; Salmonidae
Description: lncRNA (ENSSSAG00000118772.1)
Source: RNAcentral
GUAAAUGCUAACUAAGGCAACAAAGAGUAUGCAAACCAGGUAUUGGAAAACGUUUAGUCAGAAUUGUUGGUUAGUAGGCUAUUUGUGAUGUCAUUACGCGCUGUUUGCAUCAGGGGCGUAGACAUGGAUGAGCCUUGGUGGACAGAGGCCCACCCACUGGGGAGCCGGUCCCUGACAGGCCCACCCACUGGAGAGCCGGGCCCUGACAGGCCCACCCACUGGGGAGCCGGGCCCUGACAGGCCCACCCACUGGGGAGCCGGGCCCUGACAGGCCCACCCACUGGAGAGCCGGGCCCUGACAGGCCCACCCACUGGGGAGCCGGGCCCUGACAGGCCCACCCACUGGGGAGCCGGGCCCUGACAGACCCACCCAAUCAGAUUGAUGUGGUUUAAGCAUUGUUGUUGACUUCAACAAUCACGUUUAUAUUUUUUCUAUUUAAAAAAAGGUGUGAUUUUGAGAGUGAAAAUCUGAAAACAUAGGAAAGACACCACGUGUGAAAAAAAUCCUUCGCUGGACGGGAACUUUUUGGCAAAAUUAGAGUACACCCACUUCUCCAGGCACCACUACAUCACUGGAUAGGUCUAAUGGAAAGACAGCAGUCACACACAGCAUGAUAUUAAAGCACCACUACACCACUGCAUAGGGCUGAUGGAAAGACAGCAGUCACACACAGCAUGAUGUUAAAGCACCACUACACCACUGCAUAGGGCUGAUGGAAAGACAGCAGUCACACACAGCAUGAUGUUAAAGCACCACUACACCACUGCAUAGGGCUGAUGGAAAGACAGCAGUCACACACAGCAUGAUGUUAAAGCACCACUACACCACUGUAUAGGGCUGAUGGAAAGACAGCAGUCACACACAGCAUGAUGUUAAAGCACCACUACACAACUGUAUAGGUCUGAUGGAAAGACAGCAGUCACACACAGCAUGAUGUUAAAGCACCACUACACCACUGUACAGGUCUGAUGGAAAGACAGCAGUCACACACAGCACGAUGGUAAAGGAUAAGCAGUCCAUAAACUCUAAAAUAAUAAGCCAGUAGGUGCCAAUCAGAAGACUAAAAAACACAACCAUUAAGCAAUUCCCAAUCGAAAUUUACUACUACUACUUCCCUUUGCAAAAAAAACAUGUCACUUUUAGCACUCAAAAUUAACCUCUGACCUUAAAGUGGAACUGACAGUGUUAACUACUUUGCAGAUAUGAAACAAACAGACAAUCAUAAAUUCAGUCAAAAAUAUCAAAUUCCCAGUUUAUGCCACAUAACCAACUUCAUGAGAGGUUUUAAAAAUAGGUUCUAUUUGACUCGGCGUUACAUGACGUACACUAAGGCAUUGUUGGCAGAAUAGAUGGGUGCAGUUUAAUGCACGUAUAGUAUAAUUCACCAAUACAAAAAUAUUGUUAUCAGGUUGUAAAUCACAACUGCCCUGGUACAUUGUUUGCUGCCUCCAUUCCGGAUGCACGGUUUCAGUUUCAAUGACUCAAUAUUCUGGACAAAAACGGACGAAUGUAACUAAUGCUGGGAAUGUCAAUCCAAUCAAACUAGCAAGGGCAAUGAUCACAAGUCAAUCAUAAUGUGGCUAAUAGGCUAGCGUAUCUAUUUAUGUAGCAAGCUAAAAAUACAGAGCCUCGAGUUAGCUAGAUAGCUAGCUAGAUAUUUGCUAGGAGGAUGUCAUGCCAUUGGAGGAGUGGGUGAGUGACUACUUUUUCCCCUCAUAUUGUUUUUCGGUGGAUAUACACAGCUAGAGAUGCAACUUCAGCCAGUUAGCUUGGGUGCUUGAUUGGGACAAGCAUGCAUUGGCAGGCAAGCUGCAGAAGGACGUGGAGGCUACAAUUCCCCAUCGUUUAUCAGUGUAAUUUUGACGGCCAACUAGCUGAAAAAAGUUUGAUAGGGUUUAUCUAAUGUUCCUUCGUUAGAUUUUAGCUCAUCUUGCUCUGGCUAGCAUUAGUUGUUGAUCUGGUUGAUGUGCAUAACUGAGGGAGAGAGCCUACCUUCUCAUGGUUGUUUGAUCAAUAGGACUGUAAAGUUCCCAAAUGGAAGAGGACUCCUGUGGUAUUUACAUAUUUACAGAAAUCUAUUCAGGUGUAUUUUGUGGCUUUUGGCGAAUGGUUUCUAAUGAUCUAAUGUCUCGCUGUUGCAACAGUCUGUAAACACACAGUCCAGUUCAAAGUGAAUGAUGACAGGCCCUACUGCCUGUAAACACACAGUCCAGUUCAAAGUGAAUGAUGACAGGCCCAAUUACCUGUAAACACAGUCCAGUUCAAAGUGAAUGAUGACAGGUCCUACUGUCUGUAAACACACAGUCCAGUUCAAAGUGAAUGAUGACAGGCCCUACUGCCUCUAAACACACAGUCCAGUUCAAAGUGAAUGAUUCUGGACAAGACAGAUGGUUUUAUUCGGUUUUACUGCAGUGUCUAUUAAUUGUCCAAACACAUGGCCGCUUUCUCACUCUAUACUGCUAUAGAAAUUCCACAAAUGCAUUAGUAUACAUAAUUCCCAAACAUUCUAAGAAUUCAUGAAAACGUGGAAAUGACCAUAUCUAAGUGGUCGAUUGUCAGAUUAUUUUUUUUAAGUGUCAUUCUUCCUGGGGGUGUACAUGAACAGAUUUUAAUAAGAUUUCAUGAUGCUAAAAUGCUGUCAGUUCCACUUAAAACGCAACAACGUUUCACACACACAAGUUAUUUUCAAAGAGACGGCUAACAACAGGCGCUGCAAUAACAAACACAGUUCCACUCACAAGAUGAUGAUCAUUUGAAACUUAACUUGUUAAAAGUUAUUCUUGAAAAGGGAGAAGCUAACAAAUUAGCAACAACAUCUUCUUUGAUAACAGCUGCUGCAGCCCCUGCAAACUAGCUGACAACAAAAGCUAGCUAGCUAGCUAGACUGUGGGAAAACUACUGUUCGCAAUUGCGCAGUGACAUGUUGUUUCCAUACGUUUUUGUAAAAACGGUCCCACUCAUUAAGUCAAAAUGUGAUUGGUUGAUUCCACUGUCACUCCAAAAUGUUUCCCUAAUACAGUUGAAUGGCAGACGCCUUUAUCUUGCUUCUGAUGGGCUAGCCAAUCGCUGACUUAGCUAACUAGAUAUUUCUCCCCAGAGAUAAAUCCAUUCCUUUCCAACAAAAAUGGAUGAUAUUUCUUACCUUUAUUUAGUCAGUUAAGAACAAAUUCUUAUUUUCAAUGACGGCCUAGGAACAGUGGAUUAACUGCCAUGUUCAGAACAACAGUUUUUUUACCUUGUCAGCUCAGGGAUUUGAUCUUGCAACCUUUCGGUUACUAGUCCAACACUCUAACCACUAGGCUACCUGCCGCCCCAGAUUAAAUCAGAACAUCAUUGAAAAUAAUAAUAUCAUUAUCAUUAUUAUAAUCCUUAUUUUAUUCAUCCUUAGCCCUUCUCUGAAUGCGUAGAAGGCCCAUUGUUCCCCACUGUGUUUGGGUUAGUAAACAUUUGUAGAGUGGCUCGAUUUGCUCCGGUCUUGGUCUUCAAUUGAUCUCACUUUAAGUGGUCUCGAACACAACAUUAAUUUUAGGUGACUUUUAACCCUAACCCUUUUCCUAACCUUAACCUAAUUCUCCUAACUUGCUAUGUUAAUUCUCCUAACUUGCUACGUAAGUUAUCCUAACCUUGCUACGAAAGGUUUGCUGUACUCCAUCUAGUCAAAACCGGCAAUACUGCCUGCAGAACAGUGUGAGUUUCCAAUAACGCGGUACUCUGCACGACAACUCGUCACCACCAUCAUUCAGAAUCCACCGUUAUAAUACCUAGUGCUAACAUGUCAUGUGUCCUGAUAUUGUCCACAUUCGGAUUGUGAUAUUUUAUGAAAAGUGUAUGGCAUUAAAAUGUCUUAUCCGCCCACUGUCCGCAUUGUGACCUCAUUUCCUGGUCCCUCCCUGUCUGAAAAUUAUUUCACAGCUAAUAUUGAUGUAUUUAUGUUAAGAUACAAAUUGAUGGCAUAAGUCAAUGGGGCCACCUGUCAAUGAUUUUAGAGUGUGGGAUAAGGGUGAUGUAAAUGGCUUCACUUCACUGUACAGAUCUAAACUUGUAAGAAGAUAUCCAGACACAAUGGGUCCCUGGAUAGAGCCGGAGGUGGUCAGACUGACCAGGUGAAAGCGAUGAUCCCUUAUUGAUGUCACCUGUUAAAUUCACUUCAAAUCAGUGUAGAUGAAGGGGAGGAGACAGUUGAGACAUGGAUUGUGUAUGUGUGUCAUUCAGAGGGUGAAUGGACAAGACAAAAUAUAUAAGUGCCUUUGAACGGAGUAUGGUAGUAGGUGCCAGGAGCACCGGUUUGAGUGUGUCAAGAACUGCAACGCUGCUGGGUUUUUCACGUUCAACAGUUUCCCGUGUGUAUCAAGAAUGGUCCACCACCCAAAGGCCAUCCAGCUAACUUGACAGAACUGUGGGAAGCAUUGGAGUCAACAUGGGCCAGCAUCCCUGUGGAAUGCUUUUGACACCUUGUAGAGUCCAUGCUCCGAUGAAUUGAGUCUGUUCUGAGUGGAAAAGGGGAUGCAACUCAAUAUUAGGAAGGUGUCCCUAAUGUUUUGUACACUCAGCGUAUUUUGAGUUCUGAUGGGGUAGGACAGUUGAACUAAGACAAUGAGGCGUCUAUAAGUUCUAUUCUUCAAGAAUCAAUGGGUAUACAUCAUCAAUAUUUAGAGUGAUGCAUCAACUGCAGAUUGUCCCUUCAAGAUGUGGUCUGGGUAUGAACUGAAUCCUACUGUUAGCAUAAAAAAAGGUUUGAAGAUAGGAAAAAGUAUUUGAACAACAAG